AAGGUUUAGAACUUCUAAUUCCAGAUAUAGGAAAUACUGCUCUGGUGUGUUUAGCCAACUCACAAUGAUCACAAACUAACAAAUUUUUAUUGCAUUUAGUUGAUAAAGACGGAAAUAAGCGACUAAGAAUAGAAAAAAGAAUGUGACCCAGCCUACGAUGAUGUAACAUAAGUUCUGAAGUGGCACCUUCAACAGACAAUGCAUACCCCAUCAAAGAAGAAUUCAUAUUUUUCUCAUCAGUUGAUAGAUAAUAGAGUCCAUUGUGUAAUCUACCACC
This 277-nucleotide long non-coding RNA is filed under the name Elaeis guineensis (African oil palm). Its description in RNAcentral is "long non-coding RNA (EGUI_LNC030170)". Lineage: Eukaryota; Viridiplantae; Streptophyta; Magnoliopsida; Arecales; Arecaceae. The record is from RNAcentral.